This 976-nucleotide long non-coding RNA is filed under the name Apteryx owenii (little spotted kiwi). Its description in RNAcentral is "lncRNA (ENSAOWG00000009040.1)". The record is from RNAcentral. Lineage: Eukaryota; Metazoa; Chordata; Aves; Apterygiformes; Apterygidae.
UUGCUCUUCAGGUAUGCAUGGAAGCAAAUCCUCAACUCAGAAAACCUUGAGUAUGAAAAAAUGAUGUUUCCUUUGCUGCAAUUUUAAAGUGAGUUAGAAAGAUCCAGUCUUAUAAGCAAAUAAUAUCUGUGCUAGAAUUCAGCUGACCUCUGGGGUCCUCAGCUCUGCAGUGCUGAUGGGACGAUACUGCRUGGGAAGUGCCCCUGAAUUUAGGUGCUCAUCAAACUGAGGCCGCCAGCCACUGUUUGCUUAUGAGCCUGUCGUGUUCGACACAGCCCCCCGGAAAGUAACCUACUGUAGGAGAGAACUGUUCUCCAAUCCUAAUUGGCUCUCUGAGGAACUCGGGCUGAACGUCCCCAGAAGAAGGUGGAACCGAUAGUGACUUGUGCCAGUGCAGCUCUUCUAGUACAAGGCUGCAGUGGGCGGGAGUGGUUGGUCCUACCGCUGCCUCCACCAGGCCCCGUCCCUGCUGCCACCUCUCCAGGAGAUGUGUCACCAYCUGCAUGUCAUUCGGGUGCGCCGAGUUCAUCCCGAUGAAGCUCUCCGCGGGAGAGGUGAGCGCAUCACGUGUCUCCGGAGGAAGAGCCGCUUCCUUCCCGUCGGCCCGGCCGUGUCCCGGCCCCGCGGAGGGUGGCCGGCCGCGGCGGCUCGUCUCGCGCGAGCGGCUUCCAGGAGAUGGCAUCUCAGUACAAGCUCCGCUUGGGAGCGCUGGGCACCUGGGAGCCUCCCCGGAAGGAUGCUGCGAUGCGCAAGCACACAAACCCCACCGCCACGGCUCGGGGACGCACGCCCCGGCCGGCUGCGCCACGACCCGCCAACGCUCCAGAGCUGCCGCGGCCGUGACCGACCCGGCCUCGACACCGGCAACCCGGCUCCGGCGGGACCCCCCAAACCGCCCGCGGCAGCGCUUUCGGAGACCGGCUGCAGCCCCGGCCGCGGGGUGCCUGGGGCAAUAAACAGGGAAGCAAUAAAAAAA